Molecule: unclassified non-coding RNA, 609 nt
Filed under: Hevea brasiliensis (rubber tree)
Lineage: Eukaryota; Viridiplantae; Streptophyta; Magnoliopsida; Malpighiales; Euphorbiaceae
Source: RNAcentral
CAAGUUCAUCAAAUGGAAUUUGGUUUAAGAUUUGUUGUGUUGUUUGGCCCAGUUUGUGUCAAAUGUACAUUGUGAUUUGAAGUGCCAAAAUUUAUUAUGUUGGUCUUGCAAGUGAAGGAGUGUUGACAUUCUUAGGCAGUUGGUGAUGGUGAAAGCUGAAAAGCAAAGUUUUUGUGUCUCUACCCAUUUGGUUUUAGAGAUGUUUUGUUGUGUGUCAAAGGUUUGAAUUUGUGUUAUCAUGUCGACAUUACAAGUGUCUAAAUUUCUCACCGUUAAACUUCUGAACAAUCCCUUUGAACGUUUGCUGUAGCUAACGACACUUUUAAUUUUUGGUUAUUCAUAGAUUAGUGUGAUAUGAGUUUUGUUCAACUUAAGUUGGACGAUAUGGCUUCAUGAAAAUGUGUGCCAUCGAUUAAAUAUCAUAUUGAUGCCUCUUUGGCAGGUUGUUUGUGCGGUUAUUUUCAUAUUUUCUCAUAAUUGAAUGUGUAAUACAAUUUUUAUGUUAAUUCCUUCUAUUUAUUUCUUUCCUUCUUUUUUUUUUUCUCUUCCAAUUUUAUUUCUUUUUGCGUAUUUGCAUUUGGAUGUAGAAGAUAGAGAUCUUAUGCCCAG